Molecule: long non-coding RNA, 2223 nt
Organism: Vicia villosa (hairy vetch)
Lineage: Eukaryota; Viridiplantae; Streptophyta; Magnoliopsida; Fabales; Fabaceae
Exons: 5
Source: RefSeq, a predicted model, not a curated record
UUACCCAUUGGUUUUUCCCUUCAACUUCUCAAAAUCAAUACACCCAUUCAAAUUGUAUCCACCGGUCUCAUUUCUUAAGGUUGUACUUCACUUUUCCUUUUUCUCCUUCUCUCUCUGCAUUGAAAAGCCAAAGCCAAGACACCAGGUUCAUCGUCCCGAAAUCAUCAUCGUUGCACCCUGAAAUCAUCAUCACCUCUGUCCCCCAUUUCUCUCUCGUCUCCGUUUCUCCUUCCUCUGCUGCUUUCUCAAAAGGGUUUCCGAAACGCUACGGAAAUAAAGAAGGUGCACAAUUGAAGAGAUGAACCACAUGUUAGAGAUCGAAGAAAUGGAAGGUUGGUUGUUGGAUGAAAGUUUUUGUCAGAGUUCCUCUCCCAGUAUAAGCUCAUAAAACUCAAAUGUUUUUUGUUUGCAAAUUUUGUGCUUCCUACUUUUUAUGUUGUUCUUAAUGACUUCUCUUUGUUCAAGAUUUCAUACAGAAGCCGAAAAGUCAUGUUAAAACUGGAUCUGUGGAUAUCAGAGUCAUGUCCAUAUACACUGCUCAUAUGGACCAAGUCAAAUCCUGUUCACAUUUUAUUUGCUGAUAUGGCUAAGUGUGUAUCUAAGUAAAUUGUUUUUCUAUGAUGCAAAAUAUUCAAAGAAUCUGAAUAAUCUUAAUUUUUAUUUGAAGGAUAAAAGAGUUAUGCAAGCUUUUGGGGUAUUGCUUAAUGUUAAGCUUGGAAGUCCUGCUAUAUAUGGAUUUUCAUGUUCUGUGCUUGUGCUUAAUAUGUUUCAAUUCAAUGACAGGGAGAUAAUAUAUCUGGAAAGACUCCGUAGGGUAAAAGCAUGAAGGCAGAGUUGGUAAACACUGCAAUGGUAAGACUCCUCAAAGCAUAUGUCAAAUAUUGAUUUGUGAUUGACAUUGGAAACACUUCGAAACCAAGUUCUUAAAUUUUGCAAUUUCAAUUGUCAAUUGAUUUUUGUUCUUGUAUGACUCCUUUCUUAAAGUUUUAUUUGAAAUAUUUCCACUUUUCUUUGUGAACAAGAUUGAAAAUAAGUAAAAUUGAUGACAUGUUGGUAUAGGAGAGGAAAUAUUUCUACUUUUCUUUUUGAACUCCUUUCUUAAGAUUUUAUUUGUGUGUGGUGUACAAAUCUCUCUCCUUCUGCAACUUGAAUUAUUUUUGUAAAGAGGAAAUUUAAGUUCAUUUAGCCGACCACACUUCGUUGGAAAAUGCUUGGUCGUUGUUGUUUGGGAAUUUAAUUACAUUUCAGCAUCUGCUCACAAGUAUAUUAGCAUUAUUCAUGCAUUGGAACUCCUAAUCCAUUUUGAUGUGACCAUGAUUUAUAAUGUAAUCUUGCCAUUUAACCUACACUGGGGUCCAGAUCAUUAAAACUUUGGAUGGUGUUACAACUCUAUGGAUUGGAAGGUCUGCAAACUCACAUAAGAAGCCAUAUUUCAAUCUGGUAUUGAGUCGUUCUCUACAUUAUUUGUUUCAAAGUCAAAACAUGCAUUUUCAAAUGAUUCAUGUCUUAACUACUUACUGUAUUUGAUUCUCUGUGUGUGUCAUGAAACAUUUGCAACAAAUUUAUAUACACAGGUCAUUGCGCCUCGAACAUUCUCUUUAGUUUGUUUUCAGCUAUUGCCUCCCCUGAACUUUGAUGAUAAUGGCAAUAAACUGAACCAUGAUCUACUCGACUUAGUAAACUCAACAGGAAGUGUGUUCAUAACACACGGCUCUAUCAGGUGAGUACGUUCUACGUUUUGCAGUAGGAGCACCGUUGACAGAAGCGAGGCAUGUCAAAGCUGCGUGGCAGAUUUUGCAAGAAAAAGCUUCUGAUCUAUUAUAGAGUUUAUAGGAUGAAUUUUCUCUUGAGACAUCCACCAUUUCUUUUCGAGACAUCAUCGUUUCAUAUACCUGCAUCAAUUAUAUAUACUGAUUCAUCAUUGCCAAUGAUCAAUAAAGUGAAUAAACAUACUCCAACAAGUUUGUAAAUAUUCAUUUGUGACCUCUAAUAUUUUUUUGUGCCAAUAUGCAUGCCUUCUCUUUGGAUUUUAACAUGUGAUUUUGUUCUUUCUCGCAUGAAACAUUAUCGUGGUUAACUUAAUUUCAGUUAUUUAUAGGGAUAUUUCCCAGACAUUAUGACCCUCCCGAUGGUUUCACGUUCGAGGUACAUGAUGUCUCCUCUCUUAUUCAGGUCAUGUUGAUCAUACACUACCUUAUGGAUAGCAGAGUUUGGCUACCUGGG